RNAcentral lists this long non-coding RNA (2039 nucleotides) under Homo sapiens (human). RNAcentral's name for it is "HSALNT0203105". Lineage: Eukaryota; Metazoa; Chordata; Mammalia; Primates; Hominidae. The record is from RNAcentral.
ACAAAAGUACCAAAGAAGAAUAUAGAAAAAGUACAUGGAGAUACCCUCCUUGAAGCCGAAGGAUCAACACUCACCUGCAGAAACCAUACAGAAAAUGUUCUGGGGAAAUGCAAACGUGGAUAGAAUUAGCAUCACAAGUAGAAACAUAUUCACCAACAGGAAGUCCUGGAACACAGCCAGUGCAACAGCAGUGAAGUUAUUCUUUGCUACAAUACUGCUCCACUGGACUAAACAAGUAUAAAAAAUGGAUGACAGCAGGAGGACACCUGGCCAGCUGUUGUAUGGUGAGCUGAACUGAGGAGAUCUCAAAUAGGGCAGGCUGAAGGAACAUGCCACAGACACAUUGAAGAACAAUUUCAAGUAAUGGAAGCAUGGCUGCAGAAGACUGGGAAAUAAUAUCAGGAGGAAGACUGACCCAAUGUGGAGCAAUUGGAGCAGCAAAGGUGUGCAGCCAGGUGAAGCUGCAGCAUUUCAGCUUGCAACAGCUUUUGUAAAGAGCAGUCCCUCUCCCAAUCAAAGAGCCCCAUCCACCUGUAUUAUCUGAGUAAACAUGGCAGAUUUCUUACCAUACGUUUUAGUAGUAUUUCAAUUUUUUAAAUAUAUUUUUAUGAAAAAAAUCUCAGUCAGUGCUAUGUUCAAAUAGUUUCAAGUUUCCAAAAGUUCUUGCAUAAUGACUAGUACCAUACACAAAUUAAACAUAUAGUAGGUUUGGAAGCAGGUGUGUCCAUACAGAAAAUAAUUGUGUUAAGGAACUUGCACAUAUCUGUUUUCCUUCACAGCUUUUCUGGAAGGUCAGUUAAUCUGUGGCAGUCGGGAUAUAGUGAAGUAGUUAAAAGCAGUUUUAGGAGUCAGGCCAUCCACGAGUUAAAAUCACGUCCACAGCAAUUAACACAAUUUUAGCCCUGGGCAAAUUGCACACCUCUCUUUCCUUCCAUUAGAAUAUUUAUAUAAAGAGGCACUCAUAGGGCUAUUGGAAGUAUAAUCUUCAGAAAAUGCUCAGCUCUGUGCCUGACUACAUAGUUAUUACCAGGGGACCUAUAUUUUUUCUGAAUAGUCCAUAUAAAAUAAACAAGAAUUCAGUCGUUCUCAUACACAAUAUUGGUGUUUCAAGGAAAUGUAUAGAAUCUGUGCAAAAUGGAGUGUGGGUUCUAUUCAAUAUUAUAGUACCUUUUUAUGUGAAAGGAAACUAAAUGAUAAUGAAAAAUAUUAGUUUCUGAAGGAAUACUUUAAGAAGUGGAUAAAAUACAUUUAUGAAUUAUAUUUGAAACUGACUUUCAAUUGAACUGUAUGCGGUCUUUGCAUUUUCCAUUUUUAUCUGUCUGUUUACUAUCAUAGUGCCUGAGAGAAUGACUCAAUAGCUAAGUGGUUGUAGAAUGCAUGAAUGUAGUGUGCACUUAAAUCAACUCCAGAGCCUUGAUUUAGUUGCUAAUACACAUUGCUUAUUUUUCAUAAAUCUUUAGUAGGAAAUGAUGUCUUCUUGCCUUCAAAUAUCAAAAGAUGUGUUGUUAUAAUGAGAUGAACAAACUUUUUUUGGCCCCGGAUAAUUAAAGAAAACUUAGCCUUAUUUUUAAAUUAUGUAUCUGAAGCACAGUACUAUUUAAAAUAAUCAAAUUAUUCCCACUUUUUUCUUUACUUUGGGUGGAAUAUAACUAUAGUAUUUUGUUACCAUUUAUCUCUUUCAGCAAUUUUCUUUAUGUCCUUGAAAGAUCCAUCUUUGAUCAGAUCAAAUUAUUUCCAUUUUUAUUUCUUUGUAUUUGUAUUAUUAAAAUAUCUAAUUACCUUAUUCAUAUUUAUUAUUUAGAUAUUAUAUAAUGUAUAAUUUUUAAUUUUUAACAUUAACAUAACAAUGUCUAUGGCCCCUUAGCCGCUAUUUAUAAAUUUUCAUAAUUUUUACAUAAAUACCACUGAAAUUUAAAACCUGAUUCAAGUAGAUGAUUAGAAUAAUGAUCUCUCUCUGCUAGACAGUAACUUUUUAUAGAGCUAUAUUUUGAGUUGUACCUCUUGUUGUAUAAUACACCUUCCAUCUGAUGUUUAGAAAC